Molecule: transfer RNA, 71 nt
Filed under: Alviniconcha sp. Al-I-5
Lineage: Eukaryota; Metazoa; Mollusca; Gastropoda; Provannidae
Description: tRNA-Glu
Source: RNAcentral
AUUUCUAUGGUGUUACGUCAGCACAUUAGAUUUUCAUUCUAAAGGAAUAAAUAUCACGUUUAUUAGAAAUA